Molecule: transfer RNA, 69 nt
Filed under: Argopecten irradians (bay scallop)
Lineage: Eukaryota; Metazoa; Mollusca; Bivalvia; Pectinida; Pectinidae
Description: tRNA-Trp
Source: RNAcentral
CGGGAGCUAGGUUAAUUUAAAACUCUGAGUUUCCAAAACUCAAAAUGGUGGAAGUCCCGCCGCUUCUGC